GGUUCCGUGGUGUAGGGGUUAACAUGCCUGCCUGUCACGCAGGAGAUCGCGGGUUCGAUUCCCGUCGGGACCGCCA
This 76-nucleotide transfer RNA is filed under the name Enterococcus mundtii. RNAcentral's name for it is "tRNA-Asp(gtc)". It matches the Rfam family "tRNA". From Rfam's summary of the family: Transfer RNA (tRNA) molecules are approximately 80 nucleotides in length. Their secondary structure includes four short double-helical elements and three loops (D, anti-codon, and T loops). RNAcentral also lists the same sequence under 41 other names. The record is from RNAcentral. Lineage: Bacteria; Bacillati; Bacillota; Bacilli; Lactobacillales; Enterococcaceae.